RNAcentral lists this ribosomal RNA (428 nucleotides) under uncultured bacterium. RNAcentral's name for it is "bacterial SSU rRNA". It matches the Rfam family "Bacterial small subunit ribosomal RNA", at positions 8 to 424 of the family's 1533-position model. The record is from RNAcentral.
AGAGUUUGAUCCUGGCUCAGAACGAACGCUGGCGGCGUGCCUAACACAUGCAAGUCGAACGUGAAAGUCCUUCGGGAUGAGUAAAGUGGCGCACGGGUGAGUAAUGCGUAGAUAAUCUGCCUGGUGAUCUGGGAUAACAUCUCGAAAGGGGUGCUAAUACCGGAUAAGCCCACGGAGUCUUCGGACUUUGCGGGAAAAGGGGGGGACCUUCGGGCCUUCUGUCACCAGAUGAGUCUACGUACCAUUAGCUAGUUGGUGGGGUAAGAGCCCACCAAGGCUACGAUGGUUAGCUGGUCUGAGAGGAUGAUCAGCCACACUGGAACUGAGACACGGUCCAGACUCCUACGGGAGGCAGCAGUGGGGAAUUUUGCGCAAUGGGGGAAACCCUGACGCAGCAACGCCGCGUGAGUGAUGAAGGCCUUCGGGUC